UCGGGAAUUUUGGGCAAUGGGCGCAAGCCUGACCCAGCAACGCCGCGUGAAGGAUGAAGUCCCUCGGGAUGUAAACUUCGAAAGAAUAGGAAGAAUCAAUGACGGUACUAUUUUUAAGCCCCGGCUAACUCCGUGCCAGCAGCCGCGGUAAUACGGAGGGGGCAAGCGUUGUUCGGAUUUACUGGGCGUAAAGCGUAUGUAGGCGGUUAGGUAAGUUACUUGUGAAAUCUCCGAGCUUAACUCGGAACUGCCAAGUAAUACUGCCGAACUAGAGUGCAGAAGGGGCAAUUGGAAUUCUUGGUGUAGCGGUGAAAUGCGUAGAUAUCAAGAGGAACACCAGAGGCGAAGGCGAAUUGCUGGGCUGACACUGACGCUGAGAUACGAAAGCUAGGGGAGCAAA
RNAcentral lists this ribosomal RNA (400 nucleotides) under uncultured bacterium. Its description in RNAcentral is "bacterial SSU rRNA". It matches the Rfam family "Bacterial small subunit ribosomal RNA", at positions 355 to 772 of the family's 1533-position model. The record is from RNAcentral.